CGAUUGAGAGGGCUGCAAUUGUGGUCCGUUGCAACUAUGUUGCGCUUGGUCG
RNAcentral lists this non-coding RNA (52 nucleotides) under unclassified sequences. RNAcentral describes it as "DUF3800-VI RNA". It matches the Rfam family "DUF3800-VI RNA". Rfam says of the family: Actinobacteria, Planctomycetes, Proteobacteria, Spirochaetes. Nearby to DUF3800 The record is from RNAcentral.